GAUUCUUUAGUAUAGUUUAAGUAUUUUUGAUUUCCAAUCAUAAGGUUAUAAGAAUUA
RNAcentral lists this transfer RNA (57 nucleotides) under Protostrongylus rufescens. RNAcentral's name for it is "tRNA-Gly". The record is from RNAcentral. Lineage: Eukaryota; Metazoa; Nematoda; Chromadorea; Rhabditida; Metastrongylidae.